Small nucleolar RNA from Mobula hypostoma (lesser devil ray), 131 nucleotides. RefSeq annotates it as small nucleolar RNA SNORA31. The record is from RefSeq and is a predicted model, not a curated record. The transcript has a single exon. NCBI's taxonomy places the organism in Eukaryota, Metazoa, Chordata, Chondrichthyes, Myliobatiformes, Myliobatidae.
AUGCAUCAAUUGACAGGCCUAAAGUUGGAUGGUAACUUUACAGGUCAUUUACUGAGAUGCAAGAUCAAGUUUCUUUGCGCUUUCGACCUGCUUCCCUUGUAGCAGGUCAGAUUGAAUAAAAGAACACAAAA